This 495-nucleotide ribosomal RNA is filed under the name uncultured bacterium. RNAcentral's name for it is "partial 16S ribosomal RNA". It matches the Rfam family "Bacterial small subunit ribosomal RNA", at positions 28 to 507 of the family's 1533-position model. The record is from RNAcentral.
GACGAACGCUGGCGGCGUGCCUAAUACAUGCAAGUCGAACGCUGAAGGAGGAGCUUGCUUCUCUGGAUGAGUUGCGAACGGGUGAGUAACGCGUAGGUAACCUGCCUGGUAGCGGGGGAUAACUAUUGGAAACGAUAGCUAAUACCGCAUAAGAGUAGAUGUUGCAUGACAUUUGCUUAAAAGGUGCAAUUGCAUCACUACCAGAUGGACCUGCGUUGUAUUAGCCAGUUGGUGGGGUAACGGCUCACCAAGGCGACGAUACAUAGCCGACCGGAGAGGGGGAUCGGCCACACUGGGACGGAGACACGGCCCAGACUCCUUCGGGAGGCAGCAGUAGGGAAUCUUCGGCAAUGGACGGAAGUCUGACCGAGCAACGCCGCGUGAGUGAAGAAGGGUGUCGGAUCGUAAAGCUCUGUUGUAAGAGAAGAACGAGUGUGAGAGUGGAAAGUUCACACUGUGACGGUAGCUGAACAGAAAGGGACGGCUAACUACGUG